ACUCCUACGGGAGGCAGCAGUGGGGAAUAUUGCACAAUGGGCGCAAGCCUGAUGCAGCGACGCCGCGUGAGGGAUGACGGCCUUCGGGUUGUAAACCUCUUUCAGCACCGACGAAGCGCAAGUGACGGUAGGUGCAGAAGAAGGACCGGCCAACUACGUGCCAGCAGCCGCGGUAAUAC
RNAcentral lists this ribosomal RNA (179 nucleotides) under uncultured bacterium. RNAcentral's name for it is "partial 16S ribosomal RNA". It matches the Rfam family "Bacterial small subunit ribosomal RNA", at positions 335 to 526 of the family's 1533-position model. The record is from RNAcentral.